ACUAGCAGCAAUAUCACCCUGCAACUCACAGCUGGCACCCCACAGAAGCUAAGCAGGUGUGAGACUAGUCAGUACCUGGAUGGGAGACCUCCUGGGAUAAACUAAGGCUGCUGCUGGAA
RNAcentral lists this ribosomal RNA (119 nucleotides) under Lepisosteus oculatus (spotted gar). Lineage: Eukaryota; Metazoa; Chordata; Actinopteri; Semionotiformes; Lepisosteidae. The record is from RNAcentral.